GACGAACGCUGACGGCGUGCCUAAUACAUGCAAGUAGAACGCACAGUUUAUACCGUAGCUUGCUACACCAUAAACUGUGAGUUGCGAACGGGUGAGUAACGCGUAGGUAACCUGCCUGGUAGCGGGGGAUAACUAUUGGAAACGAUAGCUAAUACCGCAUAAUAUUGAUUAUUUCAUGAUAAUUGAUUGAAAGAUGCUAUUGCAUCACUACCAGAUGGACCUGCGUUGUAUUAGCUAGUAGGUGAGGUAACGGCUCACCUAGGCGACGAUACAUAGCCGACCUGAGAGGGUGAUCGGCCACACUGGGACUGAGACACGGCCCAGACUCCUACGGGAGGCAGCAGUAGGGAAUCUUCGGCAAUAGACGAAAGUCUGACCGAGCAACGCCGCGUGAGUGAAGAAGGUUUUCGGAUCGUAAAGCUCUGUUGUAAGAGAAGAACGGGUGUGAGAGUGGAAAGUUCACACUGUGACGGUAUCUUACCAGAAAGGGACGGCUAACUACGUG
RNAcentral lists this ribosomal RNA (505 nucleotides) under uncultured bacterium. RNAcentral describes it as "partial 16S ribosomal RNA". It matches the Rfam family "Bacterial small subunit ribosomal RNA", at positions 28 to 507 of the family's 1533-position model. The record is from RNAcentral.